RNAcentral lists this transfer RNA (85 nucleotides) under Lasiosphaeris hirsuta. RNAcentral's name for it is "tRNA-Asp". The record is from RNAcentral. Lineage: Eukaryota; Fungi; Ascomycota; Sordariomycetes; Sordariales; Lasiosphaeriaceae.
UCUUCCGUAGUACAGUGAUCAGUAUAUGAGCUUGUCAUCCGUCCGGAUCUCGCUCAGGACCCGGGUUCAAUUUCCGGCGGGAGAG